AUACGGAGGGUGCAAGCGUUACUCGGAAUCACUGGGCGUAAGGCGCGCGCAGGCGGGCUGAUAAGUUGGAUGUGAAAGCCUACGGCUCAACCGUAGAACUGCAUCCAAAACUAUUAGACUAGAGUGUGGGAGAGGAAGAUGGAAUUAGUUGUGUAGGGGUAAAAUCCGUAGAGAUAACUAGGAAUACCAAAAGCGAAGGCAAUCUUCUGGAACACUACUGACGCUGAGGCGCGAAAGCGUGGGGAGCAAACAGGAUUAGAAACCCCAGUAGUCC
RNAcentral lists this ribosomal RNA (274 nucleotides) under uncultured bacterium. RNAcentral's name for it is "partial 16S ribosomal RNA". It matches the Rfam family "Bacterial small subunit ribosomal RNA", at positions 523 to 796 of the family's 1533-position model. The record is from RNAcentral.